UGAGAGUGCGAGCGAAUGGAUUAAGAGCUUGCUCUUAUGAAGUUAGCGGCGGACGGGUGAGUAACACGUGGGUAACCUGCCCAUAAGACUGGGAUAACUCCGGGAAACCGGGGCUAAUACCGGAUAACAUUUUGAACCGCAUGGUUCGAAAUUGAAAGGCGGCUUCGGCUGUCACUUAUGGAUGGACCCGCGUCGCAUUAGCUAGUUGGUGAGGUAACGGCUCACCAAGGCAACGAUGCGUAGCCGACCUGAGAGGGUGAUCGGCCACACUGGGACUGAGACACGGCCCAGACUCCUACGGGAGGCAGCAGUAGGGAAUCUUCCGCAAUGGACGAAAGUCUGACGGAGCAACGCCGCGUGAGUGAUGAAGGCUUUCGGGUCGUAAAACUCUGUUGUUAGGGAAGAACAAGUGCUAGUUGAAUAAGCUGGCACCUUGACGGUACCUAACCAGAAAGCCACGGCUAACUACGUGCCAGCAGCCGCGGUAAUACGUAGGUGGCAAGCGUUAUCCGGAAUUAUUGGGCGUAAAGCGCGCGCAGGUGGUUUCUUAAGUCUGAUGUGAAAGCCCACGGCUCAACCGUGGAGGGUCAUUGGAAACUGGGAGACUUGAGUGCAGAAGAGGAAAGUGGAAUUCCAUGUGUAGCGGUGAAAUGCGUAGAGAUAUGGAGGAACACCAGUGGCGAAGGCGACUUUCUGGUCUGUAACU
This 706-nucleotide ribosomal RNA is filed under the name Bacillus cereus. RNAcentral's name for it is "bacterial SSU rRNA". It matches the Rfam family "Bacterial small subunit ribosomal RNA", at positions 56 to 741 of the family's 1533-position model. Lineage: Bacteria; Bacillati; Bacillota; Bacilli; Caryophanales; Bacillaceae. The record is from RNAcentral.